GUUUUGGGAGGGGGGGUGCCAGAAGAGCUUUGUGGUGUGGAUACAUCCCUUCUGGAGACAUUAGGGAUGUUGGUUCAGUCUUGGGGCUGCAGAAGUUCUGGGGCUUUGGAAUCCUAGACAAAUCUGGAUAGGAUCCUAUCCCACAUUUGCCUUUUCCAGGGCAAACUAAGGCCCUGAAAGGUAAAGGCCCCCUUCUCUUCUGUCUGGAAAAUACCAUGUUAUGCUCUCAUAAGCCACAGAAUAUACAGGCGGGUCUCCUUAUGCUGGGCAGCCAUCGGUACAUGCUGGGUGCACUUAGCAGGCCCUGUUAGUGCCACCUGAGGUACAGGCAGGCAAUAGGUACAGACUUCAUCCCGUCCAUGUCUGGUUUCCCCCUUUGGAAUCAUUGCGAACAAAGCAUUUUUGAGAGUCUCAGGCAAAAAGAUAUUCCCUGGGUUCCAGGUAAGUGGUCUUGUUCCCUGGCAAUUUGGAAACUGUCUCAACUGGCCAAUCAGGAACUUCCUGGUUCACAAAGGGUACGUUCUCGUACAACUGGGGCGUGGCGUUUCCUGGGAAAUGAAGUUCUAGGACGUAGUUUCUUUAUCCAUUUUUCGUUGGGAAACUACGAAGACCAGAAUUCUCCGCUCCCGCGUGGGGGCGGGACUUGAAGCAGCCAAUCAGCAGUCGGGGUUGUUCGGGCGCCUGGUAGAGGCAGGCCGUAGAGGUGGAGGAAGCCGUGAUUGGGGCGUUUGGGCAGUUCACUGCGUAGGUGUGCGGCUGGCGGGCAUGCGGAAGGUGGGUCCCUUUUCGCAUCGUGCAGGUUAUGUGCUCGCGGUUCUGGAACAGUAGGUAGGCGCUGAGGCCUAAAGCGGCCCUGUCACGAGAGCCAUCACUGGUUAUUGUGACUAGGCGGCUUGCGGGAUGCUCCUGUCGGAAGACAGGCCAGGACAUCCUUGCGGACCUGUGCCUGUUCAGUAACGGAGUCAGCCUGGAACGCGGUGAGAACCGGGAGGAGGCAGGGUAGGGGGCGCUUCCAGGGAGAGUAGGAGCUAAGACCUGCAGACAGAAGGAUGUGUUGGGGGGCAGUCCCCUGGAAUGGCAUGCGCAAAGGUAGUCCUGGAAAGAACCUGUUUUUGGUGGAGAUCGUUUUGAAAGUUCUGAAUGAAUUAACUCGUGGGACAUUUUCUUGACCAUCUAGAGAGCUGGCCUUUGUCCUGAGAACAAGGAGAAGUCACUACAGGAUUUUUAGAGGGCAGGGAUUAUGCUUCAGUUUUGUUGCGAUCUGGGAAUAGAUUGAUAGUAAAGAGGCUGGGGUCUGGCAGUCUCUGUAACAGGUUCCUAGGCAAGAGAGAUCCUGGAUGGAUCAGAGCAGGGGCAAUGAUAGGGAGGGAAGGAUGGAGAAAGGUAGAGAGAAAUCCAGAAGGUUGAGUUGGCAGGUUUGUGGAAGAGGUAGAGGGGCUGGGGAAGGGGUAUCUCCAGCACGUGAAACAGAUUGUAGAUUCCCAAUGAAAUUUUUCCUUAAUUUUUCCUCUCUCCAGUACUGGGAAUGGAAUGCUUUACCACUGAACUAUACUCAGCUCACUUAGUAAAAAUAUUUGGAAUUAACAGUAUUUGGAGACAGGUGCUAUUGUCAUCUCCCCUUUGCAAAUAAAGGUGCAGAAAAUAGAGGUAGUUAAGUAAUUUGUCCAAGAUCACAGAGCUAGGAAGUGAGUCAGGUUGUGUGUGAGUGUGUGUGUGUGUGUGUGAGAGAGAGAGAGAGAGAGAGUGAGAGAGAGAACCCUUGACUUUAAGGUGCCAGAUGAACCUAGGGAUAUCAGAGGGGGCCAGAUCAUGUAGAUCCAUGAAGAAUUUGAGACAGGCACAGAAAUGUAUGUCUCACAUUUCUGUUUCCAGCCCAGAACCACUCCCCUGAGCUCUUGACCAACUGCCUACCUCAUACCUCCUUGUUUUUCUGGAGGUAUCUCCAAAGUCAUCUUUAUCAAAUUGAACUCCUGUGGUAGCACCUUGAUGGUCUUCCUGCUCCUAUUCAGUCUGUUUUUUACACGUCCAAAGGGACUCUGAACAUCUGCAUUGGUCCUGUCCCUCCCCUACUCAGAACCCUUCCAUGGCUCCAUCUCACCCAUGGUAAAAGCCAGAGUCCUCUCCAUGGCCUGUAAGGCCCUGCACAGUCUACCUUCAUCAUCUCUCUGACAUGGUGGACUAUCAUCACUCACUCUGCUCCAGCCACACUGGCCUCAGGAUCUUUGCACUUGCUGUUCCCUUUGCCUGGAAGACUCAUGUCCCAGAUUUCCCAUACUCACCUCCUUUCGUUUUUUACUCAGAUAAUACUUUCUUCUUGAGAUCUUCCAUGACCAUCCUUCAAAAAUUAUACCACUGACAUCCAUUUUUCCUUAUGUUAAUCAUAUCACUGUUUAUCACACUGUACAAUUUAUCUUGUUUACUGACACCCCCGCCCCAUACCAUCAGCUUCAUGAGGGCAAGGCUUUGAUUAUCUCUUUCAUGCUUUAUCUCCAAACCCAAGAGGAGUGACUUGGCACAGCAGGACUCACUAACUACUUCUCAGAUUGAGCCAUUUUCAGAGCGUAGAUCUGGAUCAGAAUAUCUGGAGGCCAUCCCUGCACAACUCAAAGGGUUCGCCUUAAACUUUUCUGAGGACUCAACACUUUUAGCAGACAUUUAUCUUGCCUCUGCUUUAUGCUCAGUAUUGGGAACACAGCAGAGGACAAAGUAGUUUCCCCAAAGAACCCAGUCUCAGGGAUGAGGAUUCAAAUGGUAAUCUCACAAACGUGGAAUUACAAAGAAAGGGAGAGGAAAUGCUGUGAGCCCCUGAUAGAAAAUCUGGUCUGGAUCCUAGGAAGAGGUUUGAGGCUAUGCAGGAGUUUGACUAACUCCAUGGACAGUGUGUGUGAUGUUUGGACCUAGAGGCUAUGUUUGGGUUGUUUUUGUUUUUGUUUUUGGUACUGGGGAUUGAAGUCAGGGGCACUCCACUGAGCCACAUCCCCAGCCCUAUUUUGUGUUUUAUUUAGAGACAGAGUUGCUUAGUGCCUCACCAUUGCUGAGGCUGGCUUUGAACUGUGAUCCUCCUGCCUUAGCCUCCCAAGCUGCUGAGAUUACAGGCGUAUGCCACCGUGCCCAGCAUGUGCCACUGUACCUGGCAUGCAACCACAUAUUCUUUGCUGUUUCUCCUGUGAAGUAGCAGAGUCUCCUUCCUUCCCUUGAAUCUGGACAGGUUUAUGAUUUGUUUGAAUCAAUAGAAUGCAGUGAAAAGUGGCACUUACCAAAUGUGGGGCCUGAACCUUAAGAGGCCUGGUACCUUCUGCUUUUACUCUCAGAGCCCUGGUUGGAGGUCUCCUGCAGCGCUGUCUGCCUUUUUUUUGUUUUGUUUUUUAAUUCUGAUUUGUUAUAUAUGACAGCAGAAUGCAUUACAAUUCGCUUUACACAUAUAGAGCACAUUUUCCCAUAUCUCUGAUUGCAUCUUUAUAGAGGUCCAGCAGCCUCUAGCUGCUCUGGCUAUUUUAGCUAAUGAGAGUGAUGCUGCCUUGGAUUUUUAACUGCUGCCAGCUGACCCCAUCUGCAUUAGAGACAAACCAUCCUGAGUCCUCUCACCCUCUGACCCUUGCCUAAAUUGCAGAAUUAUGAGCAAAUAAAUGGUUGGUAUUUUAUGACUGUGUUUUAGGAGGAUUUGUUACACAGCAGUAGCUAACUAAAACAAACUAAUAUUUUUCAAGAUCUUACUAUUAUGACUGAAUCCUUGCAGUCACCUUAAGUGGUGCUAAUUAUUAUUCCCAUUGUAUAGAUGAAAUAGUGAAGACAUAGAAAAGUUAAUAAAGCAGUAGCAUAGUAUCUCUCCCACAGUAAGCCCUGCAUAUGUGAUAGCUAAUAUCAGCAUCAUGUUCAUCAGCACUAAAAUUUUCACAGUUAUUAAAAAUAAAUGAUAUUCAAGCCAGGCAUGGUGGCACAUGCCUGUAAUCCCAGGGACUCGGGAGGCUGAGACAGGAGGAUCUCAAAUUUGAGACCAGACUCAGCAACUUAGUAUAAGCAACUUAACAAGACCCUGACUCAAAAUCUCAGAGGACUGGGGAUGUGGUAAAAUACCCCUGGAUUAAAUACUCAGUACUCCUCUCCCCCAAAUAAAAGUGGUAUUCAGUUAGAUAAAGACAAGCUUGUUGGGCUGGGGGUCUUGUUUUGUUUUUUGAAGGACUGGUAGAGAGGCAGAAUGGCAGAAGUACUUGCUGAUCUCCUCGGAGUACCAGAUCCGACCUCAGUUGGCAUGAGGCUCCUCCUGGUCUUUCUCCUUAGGGAUGCAGUAGAUGGUUAAUCAUCAGGCCUGUUUGAAGUGGAGCCCACCUGUCCUGCCUGACCCCCAGGGCCACACUCCCAUGAUCACGCCCCAGCUCUCGGGCGCAUGCGCUGUUCUGCGCGUUGGUGUUCGUAGCAAGGCUGCCUCCUCUGAGCCUGUACCCUGUUGGAAAGAUGAGUGAUGAGUAAAUCCUGCUGCUAAGAGCUGUGGAAGCCGAGGAUUGGAGGGAGAGGGACGGGGGGUGUGUGUGGGGGUUAUAGGUGGCCGUGUUGAAGGUGUCUGUGAGUAAAAUGUGAGUGCAGGUCCUGACCAAGGAGGAAAAGGGACAGUCCAGGUCAAAGGCCCCAAGGCACGGGUGUGGUGGUGGUUGUGGUUGUUGUUGAAGCAGAAGGAGCAAGGUGGGUGGAGGUCAUCCAGGCCCUGAUGGCGGCAGUAAGGACGUCACCUCGGUGCUGAGUGGCCGUCGGAGCCCUUCCAGCUAAAAUGAUCCGGUCUAAAGUUCUGCAAGGAUUCCUGAGGUCUGGAAUCUAGUCCUGUGGGCACCAGACUCCACAGGGAAGGCCACUGGAUCCAGCCCAGAGAUGCUGGGGACUUGGCAAGGGUGAGAGCAAAAGAGGUGGUCAGAUUUUUUUGUAUAAUUUGUAGGGAAAAUCAACAAGAUGUGGGGUGUGGGUGUAGGGCUAAAAAGGGGGAGUCGGAGCAGCCUGCGCAGAGGAAGGAGGUGUGCUGUGAGCUGUCUGAGGAAGACAGAUGGCGCACAGGCAGGGGGCGAGAGGCUGGCCUUCAGGAGUGAGGUC
Molecule: long non-coding RNA, 5076 nt
Filed under: Marmota monax (woodchuck)
Lineage: Eukaryota; Metazoa; Chordata; Mammalia; Rodentia; Sciuridae
Source: RNAcentral